This 1402-nucleotide long non-coding RNA is filed under the name Capsicum annuum. RNAcentral's name for it is "long non-coding RNA (CANN_LNC013165)". Lineage: Eukaryota; Viridiplantae; Streptophyta; Magnoliopsida; Solanales; Solanaceae. The record is from RNAcentral.
UAAGUUCAACUCCAAUUAUCUUGUGAUUCAACCGUAGACCAAUUAUCCUGUGAUUCAACCGUAGAAAAUCCAAAUUGAUUCCGUAGUUGUGUUCACCGUCUCGAGGGCUUCGAGAAGCACCCCUUAUUUGUGCCAACAGGACUUCGAAAUCAAAAGGGUCAUUUUAUGGUAAGGAUGUAAAUUAUGUUGGUGUUAUUUAUAUGGAUAUGUAUAUAUAUAUGCAUGUGAGCAUAAGAAGCAUGUUAUUUGAUUGAUGUUGAAAGAUGAUUGGAAAUGAUGUUGGAUUAUUCUUGUGCAUAAUUGGAUUAUGUUGAAUUGUGAAGGGAUUUGGUGUGAUGAUGUGUGGGAUUAAAAUGAUGAUUAUAUAUAUAUACACAUAAACCUAUUGUUCAGGUUGGUUUUUGGAAUACUUUGCAAAUAUUGGUUGUAUGGAUUUAUGGAAGAGAAUUGUGGUGUUGGGUUGCUAAUACUAGAUGCCAAACAUUUCAUUGUAGAUAAGUGAUUUGUAAAGGCGGAAAGUUGUGUUGAAUUGGUAUCCGAAUCUACAACGAGGUAUGUAAAGCAUACUCUAACAAUGUUCUUUGGCAUGAAAACACCAAUGUUCCAUCAAGUAAGAUUCCGAGGUUGUCCAAAAACAUGUAUUGUUCUACAUUACCAACGAAGUUGUUUCCAUUCUAUAAAGUGUCAAAAUGUUUCAUUGAUAUACCGAAAGGCUCCUAUUUCAUUGUUGUGAUAUUGAUGAUUCCGAAACACAUUGUUGAUGUACCAAUGAGUCUUUAUUACAUCGUUAUUGUAUAGAAAGUCUAUUACUUGGUUCCUAUUGAUGUAUCAUUAUUCCAAAGGUACUAUAUUGGCAUGAACACUAAUGUAAUAAUCUCAAAAGCUUUUGAACUAAGUUAUUGGAAAGAUCUCUUAUGUGUGUUACUUGAUAUACGUGUGGGUGGUAGCUCAGGGGCUUAAGCCUAGCAUGGGCCGAUCCCGAUAUUUGAUAUGAUUACAGUUGAUAUGUACUGGGGGCAGCCUAAUGGUCACAGUACGGUACAGUAUUGAUUAUUGUUAGGUGGUUGGAGGUUCGGGAGGAGGAGGUAAUGGCGAAUGAUAAUUGUAAAGAAUGAAAUGAACGAAUGUAUACCGUUCCACAAAUGUGUUUGAAUUCAAGAACCCAAUUCAGAUUAAUGAUAAGAUAAUGUACAUGAUCCUAAAAGUGUUUAUGAAGUGUGGUUCACUUCUAUUAUGAUUUAUUCACUUGCGUCUGAUUUUCUUGAUCCCCCAUACCACAUAUGAUUAUUUACAGCUUUACAUACUCAGUACAUAUUUCGUACUGACGUCCCUCACGAGGGACCUGCAUUUCAUGCUGCAGGCACAGGUGCUUCAGCUCAUUCACAGCAUAGAUAGGAGCCAG